UUCUCCAACCCCCAUGUUUGGUUUUCCAGAUACGCACUUUUAAGAUUUUUUUUUUUCUUUGAAUUGUUGAUAUUUCAUUAGUUUCACUUUUAUUUCUGAACUUCUGUAAAAACAAUAUUUGGGAUCUUUCAAGUCCCAAUAUGCUGAAUCUUUUAAAUGAGGUCAGUGAGACAUGUAUUUAAUGACUUUGUACCAUAAUUCAGGAUAGGUUUCUCUGUUUGGAAUUUCAGCACAGACAAAACGUUCCACGUCAUCAGCAGUUAAUAAUUUUAUUUUGCAAAGUAAUCAAUAAAUGCAUGUGAGGUAAAACACAUUUUUGAAAUUCUCUGACUUAAACUUCAAAGCCUUACAAUAUUUACAUACUUCUGACAUAUCACCUGUGUCCAUAUAUUCGAUCUCUAUUUGCCUUUUAGUUAUUUCUCCGACUAAUAAUUUCUCUUUCUUUGCGCUAGUGCGAUGUUUACUUUCUUGUUUUGACACUGUCGUUUUUUUCUGCUUUCAUAUUCUGUAUCUUGCUCUGCAUGUUUAUUUCGCCUACGUUUUUUUUGAGUCUUUUGAAUUCCAGUUUUCAUUAUCUCUAACCUGCUCUGCAUGUAUUUGGCCCCCUUGUGUUUUAACCUCUUUAUGAUAUUUUACUUUGUUUUCUACUCUGUCUUUUAUUUCUGACCUCACUUUAUCCUGCUUUUGUUUCAAUGACACCUGGUCCGUGGUGAUUAUUUUCCCUUUUUCGAGUAAUAAUUUCCAUUUGUUUUGCGCUACUGCGAUCUUUUCUUUCUUUUUUUAUACUUUCCAAUUUUCCUACUUUCAUAUUCUUUAACUUUCUCCACAUGUGUAUCGCACCAACGUUUUUUUUUUUGAGCCUUUCGAAUUCCAUUGCUUUCAUAAUCUCUAACCUGCUCUGCAUGUGUAUAGCGCCAACGUCCGGAUUGGACGUGCUUUUUUUUCAGUUCCACUUGUUCCGGGCUGAUAAUUACUUUCCUUAUUUUCUGAAUUUGCACCUCGAUUAUUCUUUUUCUUUUUUGUCUCUCCAACGCUUUUGAGUCUCUUUUCUCCACACUGCUUUCUUCUUCGCUUAGUCGUCUACAUUUCAUGCAUAACGUAUUGUCCUUAUACGCUUUAUAUGUACUGAGAGCCCUGGAUCUGUGUGUGCUCAAAGCCAAAACACGACAGAGUGUGUUGCUGCCCGUGCUCUUAUUUGGUUGUAAGUAGGGCGUGUCUUGCAAGAAUCUCAUGUUCUACAUCAUCGCAAGACACUCUGUGACCAAUCUCUUUAGUCUUGCGGGUCUUUUAAGUGUCUUCCGUGAUCUUAACGUGAAGAUCACGUCUCGAUGCCCUACUGUUUCUCUGCAGGAUUUUUUUUUUAUAAUAGAGAGAU
Erpetoichthys calabaricus (reedfish) is the source of this 1375-nucleotide long non-coding RNA. RefSeq lists it as uncharacterized. Lineage: Eukaryota; Metazoa; Chordata; Cladistia; Polypteriformes; Polypteridae. The record is from RefSeq and is a predicted model, not a curated record. The transcript is spliced from 2 exons.